UCUGGUUUCAGCUGGAAAUCAAAUGUGGUCACAUCUGCGUACUUGUAAUAAUCUUUCUAAUCUCCUCAUUUUGGAGCAAGCGCUGGUGUCCAGUGGUUUUGCAUAAUGACCCAUUCGAGUAAUUUUCAGGGUGCUGCUUAAUUUUUUUUUUCUUAUCCCGGACGGCACAACAAUUCAUGGGCCGUGGAUAUCUGGUUCAGCUACUCCUGAGCUCUUUGCUUUGACGUGACCUCCAAAUUGUCUGUCUUGCUCAGGAAAGUCCUGGCUACACUGAGUGACAUCACCUGCCAGAGUUGGUAAGUAAAUCACAUUUUUUUUUUUGGUUUCUCCCUUAACAAAUGAUGUCUGUGUAAAAUGAUGCAGAACCACACAGUAAACUGUGAUGCUAGGGGGAUAAGUGAAAAAGAUCAGGCCUUGUUUGAUGUUUCCCCGAAGCCUUCUCCCUCACUCGCCCGACCUAUAAGUUACUGACUGGACUCCUUGACAUCCCCACAUCUUUCGUCUGGCACAGGCCAUGCGGAGGGGUGCAAGGCUUGCAAAGCUCAGACCAGGCAGCAGAACAGCUCUCCGAUGGGCAGCCCUGGGAAUGCUUUGAUCCCUGCUUUUGCUGUUGCUGCUUCUCUAAAGCCUCAGCCCAGGAUCCUUCUUCCUCUGAUGUAAAGCAUUUUCAGCAGAAGUAUGUAUUUGCGAAAAAUGUCAUUGAAAUUGGCAUGGAAAUAAGUGAAGGCGUUUGGACAAUGGACAGAUCCGCCCAACAGCAAUUGUUAAAAAAUGCAAAAUACAAAUGAGAUUGAAUUUUAAAAAGUUAGAGAUUUUUUUCUUUUUUUAUCCUACAGCUGCAGACUAUCCUCCUUUAAAUGAUCCUGGUCAGAGUUUCUUGAUCAUUGGCAGGUUUAGUGCCCAACCUCACUUAACCCACAAGGAAUUUUUGGCCUCUGGGAAAGCAGAGUUCCCAAUUGCCAGUGAUGCAUGGACCAGGUGGUGAGAUGUCAGGCUGUUGCACUGUGGUGUUAUUUGUGCAGGGGGAAAUGGUUUGAGGGUAAUGUAACAGGUUUUUGGAACUGCGCUCGCUGUUGUCCUCUCUUUAGAGGCUCGUAUUGCUGGCACCGUUGAAGUCUGCGUGGAGCAGUCAGACAUGCAGCGCAGCUUUAGGCUGGACUCUCUGCUUAGACCCAACAGAGAAACCUUUCGGGCCUCCCAGGAGAGCACAGUCAAGGACGGUUGAAAUGAUUCAAGCUCCUUCAGCUUUGAAAUAAGUGCAUGAGGCAGAAAGCCUGUCACUGCCCGCGGGGCUUGGUGGGUGCCCCUUGGGUGGGCACCCCUUUGCAUCUCCCGGCGUCUCAGGGCUGGCCCUGGUGGUGCCUCGAGGGAGACGCGAGGGCAGCGAGAGCCCACGGGGCUGCGAGGUGGCCAAGAGGAGCCUACUGAGGGACACGUGAGGCCUUUCUAGCAGAGGGCUCGCUGCCUGCCCAGCCCGCCUGCAGGCCCCGGGGCAGCCAGCGUGGUGGGACCGGCAUUCCCCAGCCCACGUUGUAUCAGGAGAGCUGCUGAGCAAGGGGUGAUGGCGGGUCGGGGGCACGGACCAGGAGGCAGCGCUGGCAAGAAAAGGGGCUGUUUCUCUCCCCACUGUUGCCUCUUGUAGGAGGAAAGACUGAAAUGAACUUGCUCCCUACUUGCCCAAGUUUCAAUUUUCCUAUUUUUAAUUUUAGCUGCAGCGCUGCCACAUCCAGUCUUCCUUCAUUUUUUCUGCAAUGUUGGAGACUUCUGAUUUAGAGUGGGUAUUUAAUUGCUUAUAAUUUCUCCAAAUUUCCAUGUAUGCGUUUUUAAUCUAUUUGCUUCCUUCCUUUCCCGUGAGCUAUUAGCGUGAGUCAUUUUGUUUCCUGACUCAGACGAGGAUUUCCCCCCCUCUUUCUUUUUCUCCAUCCAGCACUUAUACGGGAACUCCUCCACCAGGCAGUGAAAGGCGAAAGGGAAUUAGAUCUUUAUCAGACACUUUCUUUCACCCAAGAUUUCCUUAGAUCAGUAAGUUAAAUAGAUGCUAACAAAAGCCAAGCAAAUGCUUCCUCUCCUCUCUAGAAAAAUCCUUGCAGCCAAAAGUAUUCCCCUCUCCUCCUGUGCAGGCAAACCUGGAGGUAGUGCGGCUGUGUGUCCUUCUCUCAGAUGUACUGCUGUCAAUCUUCUGCCGUGGUAUGAUUUCACUUAUUCUCUCUUUGGCCAUAGAGUUCUAGGGAAGACAAGAAUUGAAUUUCUAGCCAGAAAAAAAAAGAGAAAAACAAGUAGAAAAAAAAAUCCCAACAUUGCUUCAAAUCCCUGCCAACUUUUCAUGCCUUCAUAGCUAAGCCAAAAAAUAAGGGCACAAAACCAUUUUUCUUCAUUUGCAGGUCACCUUGAAGGGUAGAUGUGUAGCUCUUUUAAUAGUGUUUCUUCUUUCAAGAGGAUUUCAGUGAGAAAUGUGGCAAUGACUGAAAUUCCCCAUUUCCUUACCGGUCCUCAAUUUUGUCUUGAGGGUAUGCAAGCAUCCGGACAAUUCUUCACUAUGGAUUUCCAUUCCAUUCCUGCAACACAGUCUCAUUUGCGGUACUAGAGAGGUCUGGCAUGAAUGUGCUUUAACGUAAUUUUGUAAGCAUGGAUAGACAGUGCUUUGGACCCAGGUAAACCACAGAGAAACACAGGUAUUAGUUGUACUUUUGGCACUUUGUCUGGGUUUUCCAAAAGUGCCCCAGCUCCUUGCUUAGGGUGUCGGAGGGCAGCUGUUAAGUGGUGCUCAUAGAAAACAUCACUGCCUGCCAAUGCUGGCACUUGGCAGAGAGCAGGCAUCCAAUGUCCCCAUGGGGGCUGACCUCCCAUCACGGGCUGUGGACCUAGGGACACUGGGGAAUGGAGAAAUAAUUGCUCUGUGCUCAGAUAGGAUCUGCACAGCGAAGAACCUCUUGGUCCUGCAGCCCGUGCACACAAGUUCAAAUAGCCGUAGUACUGGAGGAGAUGCCUGCAUGUCUCUAAAACAGGGCAUGCAUCCACUUUCCACCCAAAUGCUGCCCCUUUGUUUUGUGCGACAUCUCUGUGAUGCUCUUGUUAACAGUUUCACCCAAGCUGAGCAGGCACAUAUUAAAAAGCAUGAAAAAGAUGUAAGAAAGAGUGUGAAUCCCCCAAUGGGGAAGGAGCAUUAAAAGCAGUGGAAGAGCAGGGACCUUGCAGAGCAGUGGGGAGAGGCUGGCAAGGACAGACCACUCACGACUUUGGUGCGUGCUUUACUCUCCUGGUACAUUGUGACCCACCAAGGAUAAGGCCUCUGCUUGGAGCAGAGGUUCUCCGAUGCUUUCUUGCAGGUGGCUGGGACAAUGGCAAGAUCUGGCUGCUCAGGGGCAGCUCUGUCUGCUUCUCGCCUCUUGUCUUCGUCCCUGAGAAGCGAAGGCUGCACAGAGCCGAUGCAUCCCCUCCAGCAUGGGGCCAAGUGGGGACAGGACCCUGCUGGCCAUCUCCCUAGCUGGGAUGUUGGGAGCAGCUGCUGCCUGGUUAUAAACUAUCCAGAAGGUCAAGCUGUACAUGUGCUCUAUUUUAGGCAAAGUGGUUUUCCUGGCCUUAAUUGAUAACUGAUGAGAAAACCUUCUUCCCUACACAUACGCAUGCAUAAGUACAGACACACACAGACACACACGUGUGUAUAUAAACAGAUCUCUUUAAAUUUAAAUAGAUUUAUGCCCAAGGACAGGAAGGUGGAUAAGAGGUCAUAACAAAGAAAGAAGAUAUAAAACAUCUGUAUGCUCUUUUGUUGGGAUUAAAUCUAUAGUAAGUUGCAUUCAGUGUUAAUACUCCCGUGGGCUGGCUUAAUUUGUAUUUUUCAUUGUUGUCUUCACAUUUGUCAAGCUUUGAUGAUGGGGUAAUGAAGUAAAUAGAUGUUAACUACAAAUUAAUCAUCCCUAUCUUGAUAACAUAGUACAGGUACUGUUCACUUACCCUCUUCACCCAGAAAAGGUAAUGCACCUUCCAUAUUAGUACCAGAAAAGUCUGCUAGAAGCUGUAAUACAGAAAAAAAAAAAAUAGAAAAAAACACCCUGAGAAAGUGCAAAUAUUCAUUGAAACUGCUAGAAACCAGCUGAGUUUGAAUUGCAAUAAGGAGGCAAGGAAUUGGAGGGGAAUACUAACAUUGCAAGGAGAGUUUGUUGGAAAUGGUGUAUUGAUCAUGGGCAGAUUGCACCCUUGGCUAUGUUUAACUACUGAGAGGUUAGGUCUUUUGAGGGCUUUUUUUUUUUUAACUUGUGUGUGUGUGUGUGUCUGUGUGUGUUUCUCACUGUGUGGCAAGGGACGGAUCUAUUUACAAAUGUGCAGGCUGUUUUGCAACCUUUAUUGCUUUACUUCGGAGCUCGGUGUCUGUGGACCUGUUCUCGUUGUGGUAUUGGGUUUCUGGGAGGCUGGAUGCUCCUUCACAUGCUCCUGCCACCAAGUAGGCAAACAAGAGCAGAGCCUGAAGAAAUCCUGGGCUCUCCCAAUCACCUGUGGGUGACCUGAUGGGGCUGGAGAUGGAGACAGACAGCCUGCUAACUCUGGUGACGCAUCCCCUCCACUGAACACUUCAGAUGCCCCGCAAGCAUAUCUUUGGCAGCCUGUUUUGAAGAUGGGUUACACAUGCUUUGACCACCUAAAUUUGCAGUUUGGACUUUGACCUAGGCAAACAUGCGAAUUUUUGAUCCAUUGUUUUAUACCCGAUGGAGUGGUGUUUGGUUUUAUGCAGACGAGCUAGUGAAGUUUUACCACCUGGGCUGAUUUUGUGCUUGCAAUAGGAAGCAAGCUUAGAUUUUGGGUUUAUUGUUGGGUGGUCAUCAGUCGCUCAGCCUCCACCUGGUGUGAUCACUUGUCACUACACUCCAAUGUCAAUUUAAAUUUCCUUCUGUUCCUCUAUUCCCUGUGUCACAGGCUGCUGUAGACCUUUGCAGCCCCGUCCGCUCCUGUCGUGACACCUCGAUGAGUCAUCAGUGCCUCGUGGGGCCCCCAACAGCCCCAGCACCCUCAGCACCCAGACCUGGCUCUCUGCACAGGGGAUCGGCCAUCAGUGCAAGGCCAUGCCCAACUUGACUCCAGGUUUGCAAGGCGCUUCAACAUCUGGGUCCUCAGACCUCUUCACAACCUUUGCAGAAACCUUUGUCAGAGGAAGAAGUACUCGGUCAGACUGAGAUUGUCAAGCAACAUUUUCCUGAGCAGCAGCAGCAGUACCAGUCCUGUUCCUUCUCAAGGCAGACACCAGCAGCCUCCUUCAGCCAAGGGCUCAGGUCUGCCCCAUAGAUGUAGAAAGCUCUUCUAGUGGUCUUAAAGAUGUGUGCUUCAGACAAGUUACUACUUUCCAGAGGAAGCAGCUGCUGUUGGUUCAUUCCCUGGAUGAAUAGAGAAUGCUGCAAGAUUUGAAGGUAUUGUUGCUUAUUUGUGAGGAAGCAUUGCACAGCAUCUGGGCAUUUCUUAAAGUGAUCGCCUCUAGCAUUUGCCAUUUCUUUUUUAUUGUCUUUCUCUUCGCCAGUCCUCGGCACAAUCCCUCUCUCUCUUUUAUUGAUCAAUUGCUUGAGACUUUCAGUGAUCCAGAAGGUUCACACAGUUGUCCCAACAUUUUCUAUUGUUUUGUAUUCUGAACUUAAAUUUAUCACUGGUCCUUCAGAUUUUGAAAUGCAAGGUUUUGACAAGGUUCCUUCCCUCUUUACAUUCCUCUCUUUGUUGUCUCUUUCCCCUCCCAGCUGGUGCUGAAAAUACUUUCUCAUUGGUGAAGCUGUAACUCUGUUGGUUUUUCAAAGGGCUGGAUUUCAUUCCUCAUCCACCUCCUUCUCUAUGCACUCUAUAAGCAAAAACAUCUCCAUUCAUUCUGUAGGCUAUGGAAAAAAACAAAGCAGUGGAGUGGGACAUAAGUAUUCCAGAAUUCACUUCUCUGACGCCGUAGUUAACUAACAUUGACCUGUGGCUGCUUCUGUGGCUGUUGCAUAAUGCUUUAGAGUGAGUGUUUCUUUUGUUUUGUCUCCAGCCCAAGAAUUCAUUUUUAAUAAGAAAACUCAGAAGUAUCUCUGAAAGAUAGGGGCUUAUGAGUGUCACCACUGUGUUGCAGAUGCGGAAGCUUUCACUGACUCACGUGGUCCCCGUGGUCUCCAGCUAUCUGGAUUAAUGAGGGUCCAGUGUAGCCCUUGUCUUCUCUUACAAACACAUGUAACAGAGCCUCAGAGCUGCCUCUGCCUUUUCAGGCAUCUUCUCCAUGCCAUCAUGUGUGCACGACUGCUGCUUGGAGAGCCUUGGAACAGGGGAGGAAAGGCUCUCGGCUUGUUAAGCAAUCAUCUGGUUCCCUAUCCUUGAUGCUCCUGUGGCUAGAGGAGCAGCAUACUUUUUGUGUAACUUAGUCUGCCUCAGGUCUCCAUAAACUCCAUUGUUAAAUCUGACUCCAGCUAUUUGUUCUCUGAAAGUCAGUCUUACUAAGUUACUUGUUUUUCAUGGAUCCUCUUCUGCUUUGUGUCCAUCCUCAUGUUUGUGGAUCUGCUUGGUUAUCAAAUUGCUUCUAACACUUUUCCUUUUGUCCAUCAGGAUCUUUUCUCCUCUAUGAGGGAUUUCCAAUUGCCCAGGUCCUGCUUCCUGACCUCUGUUCUCUCCUUGGUUGUCUGUGAUCUCCUCCAUUGCCUGUAACUUGUUCCAUUUUCUUAUGCCAAACGAGAAUCCACAUUUCCUCACACAGGCAACUGGCUGGCUCUCUCUUCAGUUGCUAGUGAGGAAUGAGGAAUAGAAAAGGAAAGCACGAAAUGCAAUUCCCUGUUUUAUUUCUUUCUACACAUAAAGCAUGGUGAGUGCUUUCAGGAACUGUUUCUUCGAGCAUUGUGUGAUGAGAUCCUUUGCUUCCAAGGGAUUGUGUAGCCUGUACACUGGGACUCUGCCUGGUUCUCAUACAGCCUGAAUCCCAGCCCUGUCAUAGGUCAUGACGUAGGAGCGAAGAUGUUUCACAUCUUUUUGCUUUUGUACUACCGGGUGUCCUGUGCUUGGCUUGUCUGAAUGUCUGUUGUGCUGAAUUCUGGCUUCUCUGGCUACCUUUGGAGCUCAGCACACCAGGUAUCUGCCUCCCUGUGGGUGGCAUGUCUGGGGAGGUCCCCUGGGUAGGUCAAGUAGGCUAUGCAGAGUUUCUCUUGGGGUUGUUGUCCUGACCAGAUCGUAGGGUGUCAGGGACCCACUCUGCAGCAGCAGGAUGUCGUUGAUGCAGGAUGCCAGUUGAUGGGCAUUCUCCAUGAAACAUGACUGCAACUCUGACAGCAGCCUUGGAAAGAAGCCAGGAGAUGUAAGCAACAUGCCCGUGAGCCAGCGGGGCCAAAUGUUGCAGUGAGAAUCACAGGCUCUAUUAAGAGCAUCAUUUUUUUCUGUUUGAUCUUUAUAAAGCCAACACUUAUUCCUCUGGGAAGGGGACCUCAUGGCUGCAGUUGCAGCACCAGUCUAAUGGGUCUUUAUACGUAGCUGCUUUAUAUCUCCUUCAACCGCUCCAACACCUCCUCCCACAAUGACUGCAUCAUUUUUGAAUGACUGCAAUGCUGGUAUUUGGCAAGGGAGAGGGUUUUCCAAAAGUUGAUUCAGUUCAUUUGUACCCAUGUCCUUGAGGUCUUGAAGAACUUGCCUACUCAAAGCAACAUACACACCUCUCCUGCACUCCCCUCCUACUCUGGAAGGGGAUUUGAAUAUAAUCGGUGCUGCUGUUGAAGAUGUCUAAGUCUGACCUUCACUUGGAGGUUAGGAUCCUAAAUCACACAGGCAUAUCUAAAAAAAAAUACAGGUUCUUAAGUGACUCAGGCAGUUUUGCUCACUCUGUGGGGAGAGAGGAGGUAUUUCCAAAUGGAAUCAGGAAAGAAGGAAGCAGCUGGGUACAUUUUAAUUCUAAUUUUUCCUAUAUAUCAAGCGUUAAAUUAACAAGUGAGGGAGAACACUUCUGAAGAGCUCUCUGCUGUUUAGACAGGCAUAUCAGGAUAAAAUUACUCUGUGCUUGCCCAUGGUUUGUCUGGAUACUCCUGGAACUGCACCACUAAAGAGUAUAAUUGUGCUGCUAUUUGAGGCUUCAGAUUUGGUGCUGCAAAUCCUCCCCUCUGUCUGACUACGCAAGGUUUGCUUGAUGACGUUAGGAAACUAUUCCCCAUAGGUGAUUUUCACUAUGGCAGGGUGCAGAGUUCCUUAGAAGAUAUGCUAUCAAGAGAAAAGGGAGAAUGGCUUGGCCAAAAGAUUUGUUUUUGUGGCUGUGAAGAUGAUUGGCUAAAAUGUUUGUUGGAGAGUGGUUUUCCUGCAGUGUUUCAGACGGGGGAAUCUAAUUGGCACAGGAAAGAUUUUGUGGUCAAGUGGCUGAUUUCUACCCCUGAAAGGUUGGUGUAAUGCACGGUCUAUUUCAGUACCACCUUAGAGAUUUUUAUUACCAUAGUGAGAAAAAGAACUGUUAUCAUUGCCUUCAACUUGGAGUAAUUGAAUUUAAAAUCAGAGCCCUCUUCAAAGUCUUUUAUUUCCUGGGUGAUAUGUGGCACUGAGGUCUUCCGAUUAGUUAACAUCAGUAUACAUCACCUCCAUGAAGCCCCACUCUGGGAUCCACAUAGCUGGCCUAGGCCACAUUUGUGUGCUUAGAGUACUCAUGUCUCUGACUAAAUGGUUCAUAUUCACUUUCACUGAGGCUCGGAUAUAAAAUGCUUCAGUGCACUGCAUAUGAUUUUUUUUUCUCAGUCUAAGUCCCAAGAGGACAUACUCCCGAUAUCCCCACUCAAUGAAAUAUUGUCUCUGCAGCCAGGAAAGCAAUCCCUUGAGUACAAACCUGGAAGUAGAGGAAUGGGUCAUUUCCCAGCAGCAUUUUCAAAUUGUCACACCUUCAAUUCUGGGGGGAUUUAUGGACUCUGCUAAUACAUAGAGCUGGUCCUGGGCAAUAAAUGCCCCAUUUUCACUACCAUUAAAACUGUAAUUAUUUCCCUUGUACAUUAUUUUUCCUGAAUACAUCUCAAAACAUUUAGGCAACACUAUCAUUAUUCCCAUUUUAUAGAUGGGAGAGUUGUGUUACAGAGAGACACUUGGAAAGCUUGGAAAGUGGGUACAAGUGUAUUCUGCAUUGAUGAGGUCCCCUUGCAGGAUGGCUAAGGGGUGUUCAUGAUGUGUUUGCUGAUCAGACCGAUAAAUGUGUCACCUUUUCUCCUUGUUUUUAAGGUUCUGGCCCCCAAGUGUGAGCAUUUCCACAGCAUAUCCAUCUACAGGCGCUAGAGCAGAGGUGGGAAGAAACAUGAGGAAGCUCCCCUUCAGCAAGUCAGCGUAUUUUGAUCACAGUGAUGGAGGCUGAGAUUACCAAAGUCCUUUAAGGAGUAUAUAUUUCCAGGGUCAUUUAAGGUAGUAAAAGCUGGGCACUCAACCUGACUAUGCAGGAUUCCCAGGGGAAUGAGCCAGUGACUAUUUGUACACGUGCACAGGGACGGUGAGGAGACAGAGCCAGCAGACAGGAGCUGUGUGGUGCUGCAGAAGGAUAGACCACCUGCUGCAGGAAGCAUAGACUAAAGGAAAAUGCUGACAGCAGCGCGGACCGACAGCUCUCUGCCUUGCUCCACUUCCAGCUCAGUGUCUAGUGUUUACCAGGACCAUAACAAUGCCUAGGCCAAGAAGAUUUAGGGUCUAAGCUUGCAGGUAAGGAAUAUCAUGGCAAUUUACCACCUAAAGGACAGACAAGAAAAGUCAGGACUGGUUUAAACUCCUGGCUUGUUCCUCAUGAGGUCACAACCUCAUUUAAUAUCACCACCAAAUUCUGAACUGCCAUGUGUACCUGGAGCUCAUGAGAUCUUCCUUCCCACUCAUUCCACCAGAUUGUCCUUGAACUUCUUCUCUGCUCGCAAUUGCUUGUAACUAGCAAAAUGAGACAGGGAAAACAUGAAGAUUUUCAGGGAAAAAACAGCUUUUUAUAUAACAAGCUUGAAUUUGAAUUAAAAACCUUGACUUUUGCAGAUUUCCAUCAGUUUUAAAGAGCCAGGAGGAUGCCAGCACUGCCUAUUCUUUAUGGAGAGGUGGGUUUGGGCUGCCCUCCUUACUCACUCAGAACGAUUUCUCCUUCAAGGAGGGGGAAGAAAUCACACAGACUACACUUGCCCAUAAUCAGCAACAUUCACAGAAUAAAUUAAAAGCUGAGACUCAAACUGAAAACUGAUCCACAAGUAAGACUGCUCUUGGUGUGAGGACACAGUUCUGCAGCAGGUAAAGUCUGCAUUCAAAAGGUUACUGUUUCAAGCCUUGUUCUGAUUUUUUUCCAGCCCAUUCCUCCAAAACCCAAGGCUCUGGCUUGUAUCCCACCAGUCCUUAGCCUUCCCAAAAUACUUCCACACACACCAGAGAUUCAAAGAAGGUGAAGGCAAGAAGUUUAGGUUUCAGUUCCUACUCUUUCUUAGACAUAAUGCUGACCCCCCAACUAACACGGAUUAUACUAUGACACUCCUGCACUUUCUGCAAUGCUGAGAAAUUGCAGUGGCAAUGAUAAUGCUCCUGAGGACCUUACAGUCUCUGAUCAGCAUCGGCAAGAAAUUCCUUCCAUGCCAGCUACUCUUCUUGAGACUGCAGCUGCAAAUGUUUAACUUUACCCUGGUGUCAUCACCAAUUCCCUCUCUACUAACUUUUUGGAGAGAGUCAUGGUCAGGAAUGAGAAGAUAUUUUUCAUGUCUUCCAUUUUUUUCACAGGUCCCCAAGGCACCUGCUGCCACUGGAGAGGGCAGGCCUGGAGAAGCUGCUAAAAGAGACAAGAAAACAUCAUGCAAACAGCGUCCUCUUACCAGGCAUCUAGAACUGCUAAGGUCCCAACUGGGUAUCUGCCAUUCAGGCAGUUUCCAGUUUGGAGGAAGCAUUCAGUUAGUGCCAUGUUGUCCCAGGUUUGAACUCAUGUGAGCUGUUGAGGCAUUAGUUGUUCCUCCUUGCUGCUACACACUUGACUGUGCUUCCUUGAAAGCUGCAGGGGUACAUCAGCAGGGCUCAGCAUGAGUUUAUGUAUGUCAGUGACAUAUGAGUAUAAUACAUGAAGUGGCUUCCCCCCCACACACACCUUUACAGGCUCCAGGAUGCUGACAGAGCUCCCAUUUGGACUCUGGAGUCCCAUUGAGAUCAUGACAGCAAUGUUUAUGUGCUAUUCUAAUGCUGGUUUUAGUAGCAUAAGUGCUUUUUAAUGCAUAGCAUUACAGCAAGUGUGUCCUAUUCUCUCCCUUACUGAAUGGCUGUCUGGAGGGAUGUAAUUCCAGCUUCUGCCUCGACAUGCAGUUAUUUACAAGCACAGUUACAUGUCCACAUCAGGCAUGGUUAAAGCCACUGCUGAGCUUUACUUAGUUAAUUUGGCAUGCACCACAUGAGAAUCACCUUGACAGAACAACUGUUGUCAUCCCCAACACACUCAAGGACCCCGUAAUUUCAUCGAGAGGGCAACAGGACGUCAGAAGCACACCCAUAGGGAGGUUAAUGCAGUGACGAGCAGCAGUGUCACCCAAGGGGACCAUCGCAAGGUCCUACCCUCUGGCAUGCAAGAACCCUGCAGGACACCUGCAGCAUGUCGUGUGGGGUGGCCAGCCUUGUGGUAGCUCCUUGGCCACUGGUUUGCUGAAUACAGCCACACUGGCUUCUGGCUAGGAGUUUGCAGACACAGUUGCAGACUUUGGCCAGGAAUUGGCUCCUACAGCCUCUUGCUGUCCAACAUGAAACUCCGCUGGGGAAGAGAACUCAGCUUGAAGUGAUAUAUCUAACAAAGUUACUCUGUACAGUUAUUUUACAAGGGAUUGCCUGUUCUGACAGUGUUUUCCUGAACCUUUGUGUUUCCUGCUCCAGACAGCACCAUCUCAUGAGGAACCGGAAGCAUCUUUGUUAUUUGGAAAAGAGAAGGCUGCAGAGCUUAGUUCAUCCUGGAGGGAGUAGAAGUCCUGUUGGAAAACAGCAAAACGUCCUUGGCCCUAGCUGCCUGAAAGACAGAGGUAAAGAACGUGUGAUGGUAGCCAGUGCCUCAGGCACUAGGGGCAUUUUGGAUAUCCCAGUUGCCUUUGGGGAGGUUGCCAGUACACUCACCCAGUUCUGUGGGAAGCUGGCUGCCCCUUUGCCUAGCACCCGGUGGCAGAUUGCUCAGUGAAAAUCAUCAGCUUCCAUGUGGCUGCUGCUGCUUUCACUGCCAUGAAGAACUGCAGCCAUUUGCAGCACUGGACUUCCAGCUAAGCACUGGUUCUAGUGGAGAUGCUUCCCAGGCAGGUUUCAGCAGCCCUCCUUGUAGAGAAGAAAUCCAUCUUCCCAUUCAAAGGGACCGUACGCCCUGGGCCUCCUCCUAUUCAGAGUGCACUUAAAGCUCAGCUGCUGUCUCUUCCCAGGGCCAGUGUCUUCCAGGGCUUUCACUUGGGAUCUUGCCUCUCCCAGGAACUAGGAGGGAUGGCUCAGAGCAAACAGCCUUUACCCUCCUUACCAAGGUCCUCACAUUCUGGGUGAGUUCCUAGUCUGAUGCCACCUUGUCCAGGUGGCAAGCAGGAGUGUGGCAGCUGCAUGCAAGAGCUGGAAUAUAAAACCAAAUAACUAAAUACACAUGUGUAAUUAAUAAGCAAAUCUCAAAAGCCAGAGUUGUGUUUGACUGUAAAGAAAUGCUGUUGACUGCUUUUCUGCAUCUACCUAUAUAACUGCUUUCUGAUGGCUGUUUUUCUAUAUCCAUUGUGUUGCUACAGAGGUUCCUGUUUGCCCUGAAGUUCAGCAGCAGAUGAAUUACAAAGGCCAUUUCCCUGGACAUUCCUUCAGGCUAAGAAAGUGAAAAGGCCAGAGGGGAUGCGAGAGAUGCUGGAUGUCACAUAAGAGGCAGAGAAGCAAAAUGGCUCUUUGGGGCUCCUGUGGUUGUGUUCAUCUGAGGUGAUGAUCCGUGCCCCAUGCCUUUGGCUAGUCAAACUCCCCUGGCUUCAGCAUACAACAGCCAACAGUUGCUCCAGCCUUUAUCUCAGGAAGAGCCCAAAGCAGGGGCUGUUGGAAGAAGCCUGGUGACUGGGAGCUUUCUUCUCACUGGGCUGGCAGGGCAAUGAUGUUCAUGGCUUUAUUUGGGGCCUGUUGUGACUUGCAUUGAUGAAAGGAUGUUCAAAACUAUUGCCUGCUCUGUCAACUUGCACUGUCGGGGGGAUGGAGGCUGAGGGAAAACUGAUGAGAAAAUAUUCACUAGCCCAACUACUAAGUGAGAUCUCUCUAAUGGAGAAUUUAAUCUCCAAGACAUUGUUAUCUCUGUUAGGUUUUCUGUAUCUUAGGUACUCAAUAAAUGAUUGCUAAAGUAA
Molecule: long non-coding RNA, 13262 nt
Organism: Dromaius novaehollandiae (emu)
Lineage: Eukaryota; Metazoa; Chordata; Aves; Casuariiformes; Dromaiidae
Exons: 2
Source: RefSeq, a predicted model, not a curated record